GAUAUUGCACAAUGGGGGGAACCCUGAUGCAGCGACGCCGCGUGAGUGAAGAAGUUAUUCGUAAUGUAAAGCUCUAUCAGCAGGGAAGAAGCAGACGGUACCUGACUAAGAAGCACCGGCUAAAUACGUGCCAGCAGCCGCGGUAAUACGUAUGGUGCAAGCGUUAUCCGGAUUUACCGGGUGUAAAGGGAGCGUAGACGGCAUAGCAAGCCAGAUGUGAAAUGUAUGGGCUUAACCCAUAGACUGCAUUUGGAACUGUUAAGCUAGAGUGUCGGAGAGGUAAGUGGAAUUCCUAGUGUAGCGGUGAAAUGCGUAGAUAUUAGGAGGAACACCGGUGGCGAAGGCGGCUUACUGGACGGCAACUGACGUUGAGGCUCGAAAGCGUGGGGAGCAAAC
Molecule: ribosomal RNA, 396 nt
Filed under: uncultured bacterium
Lineage: Bacteria
Description: partial 16S ribosomal RNA
Rfam family: Bacterial small subunit ribosomal RNA
Source: RNAcentral